CCCGCCUUGACAUAAGGAGAGGAACUCAGUCCUGCCUCACCUUGAUGUGCUAAGCUUGGUUCUUAACCAUAGGUAUUUGAGUUGGCUGGACUUGGGUUUGUGUGCCCUAACAUAUAACAGAAGGACACCGUACCAAACACCUCCAAGCUGGGCCUGCAGGCAGGUGAAGGAUGCAGAGUUGCAAGACAACACCGACUGCCAUGAAGGAUGGAGACACAGGAAGUCUCACCUGUACAUGUGUGCUCCUCUUUCCCACCAGGGAGGUUGCUACAGUUCUGAAAUGAGAAAAAUCAAGUUCCAGCAUUGGUGAAUAAGGCUGAUGAACAGCUCUCUGCAGCAGCGCGAUGUCCUUCCUGCAAAAGGCCCC
Long non-coding RNA from Microtus oregoni (creeping vole), 367 nucleotides. RefSeq lists it as uncharacterized. The transcript has 3 exons. The record is from RefSeq and is a predicted model, not a curated record. Lineage: Eukaryota; Metazoa; Chordata; Mammalia; Rodentia; Cricetidae.